UACGAAGGGGGCUAGCGUUGUUCGGAAUUAUUGGGCGUAAAGGGCGCGUAGGCGGCUUUGCAAGUGACGGGUGAAAGCCCUCGGCUUAACCGAGGAACUGCCUGUCAGACUGUAAGGCUUGAGACCGGGAGAGGUGAGUGGAAUUCCCGGUGUAGCGGUGAAAUGCGUAGAUAUCGUAAGGAAGACCAGUGGCGAAGGCGGGUCUCUGGACAGUUCCUGACGCUGAGGCACGAAGGCCAGGGGAGCAAACGGG
RNAcentral lists this ribosomal RNA (253 nucleotides) under uncultured bacterium. Its description in RNAcentral is "partial 16S ribosomal RNA". It matches the Rfam family "Bacterial small subunit ribosomal RNA", at positions 524 to 776 of the family's 1533-position model. The record is from RNAcentral.